AUUGCCCCAGUAACGGCGAGUGAAGCGGCAAGAGCUCAAAUUUGAAAUCUGGCCUCCCGGGAGGGGGGUCCGAGUUGUAAUUUGCAGAGGAUGCUUCGGGCCUGGUCCCCAUCUAAGCGCCCUGGAACGGGCCGCCGGAGAGGGUGAGAGUCCCGUCUGGGAUGGGGGACCGGAUCCCCGUGAAGCUCCUUCGACRAGUCGAGUUGUUUGGGAAUGCAGCUCUAAGUGGGUGGUAAAUUCCAUCUAAAGCUAAAUACCGGCCGGAGACCGAUAGCGCACAAGUAGAGUGAUCGAAAGAUGAAAAGCACUUUGGAAAGAGAGUUAAAGAGCAUGUGAAAUUGUUGAAAGGGAAGCGCUUGCGACCAGACUCGCCCGGUGGAGGCUCAACCGGCACAUGUGUGCCGGCGUGUUGCUCCUCCCCGGGUGGGCCAGCGUCGGUCUGGGCGGCCGCUGAAAGACCCCCGGAAGGUAGCGCCCCCCACGGGGGGCGUCUUAUAGCCGGGUGGUGCCAUGUGGUCGCCGGGACCGAGGACCGCSCCGUUGGGCUCGGAUGCUGGCAUAAUGGUCGCAAGCGGCCCGUCUUGAAACACGGACCAAGGAGUCUAACAUCUACGCGAGUGUUCGGGUGCCACGCCCGUCCGCCCAGUGAAAGCGAAUGGAGGUGGGAACCCCCCGUACCCCGGGGGGUGCACCAUCCGACCGAUCCGGAUGUUCUCGGAUGGAUUUGAGUAGGAGCGUAACUGUUGGGACCCGAAAGAUGGUGAACUAUGCCCUGGAUAGGGUGAAGCCA
Molecule: ribosomal RNA, 790 nt
Filed under: Elaphomyces mutabilis
Lineage: Eukaryota; Fungi; Ascomycota; Eurotiomycetes; Eurotiales; Elaphomycetaceae
Description: LSU rRNA
Rfam family: Eukaryotic large subunit ribosomal RNA
Source: RNAcentral